AAACUAAACUGAAACAUGACUUGGUUCUCGGGUGGAUGAAGAACGGGGGCAGCUGCGAUACUUGGUGCGUAUUUACAGGGCACAUUGAUCGUGAUACACAUGCUCAAUGUAUGUGUGUCUGUGUUAAUUCAUUGAGCAAUUACACUUUGAACGCACAUUACGGCGUCGGGUGUUCCCGUGGCUUCGUCUGUGUGAGAAACG
Molecule: non-coding RNA, 201 nt
Organism: Ixodes scapularis (black-legged tick)
Lineage: Eukaryota; Metazoa; Arthropoda; Arachnida; Ixodida; Ixodidae
Source: Rfam